UACGAAGGGUGCAAGCGUUAAUCGGAAUUACUGGGCGUAAAGCGUGCGUAGGCGGUUUCUUAAGUCUGCUGUGGAAGCCCUGGGCUCAACCUGGGAAUGGCGGUGGAUACUGAGAAGCUGGAGUACGGUAGAGGAAGGUGGAAUUCCCGGUGUAGCGGUGAAAUGCGUAGAGAUCGGGAGGAACAUCAGUGGCGAAGGCGGCCUUCUGGACCAGUACUGACGCUGAGGCACGAAAGCGUGGGGAGCAAACAGG
This 253-nucleotide ribosomal RNA is filed under the name uncultured bacterium. Its description in RNAcentral is "partial 16S ribosomal RNA". It matches the Rfam family "Bacterial small subunit ribosomal RNA", at positions 524 to 776 of the family's 1533-position model. The record is from RNAcentral.